Molecule: unclassified non-coding RNA, 1194 nt
Filed under: Hevea brasiliensis (rubber tree)
Lineage: Eukaryota; Viridiplantae; Streptophyta; Magnoliopsida; Malpighiales; Euphorbiaceae
Source: RNAcentral
UACUUUCCCCAUCUCCGUCAAGCAGCCUGGUCCAAGGGAUUUUCUCCUCCAGUGCUUUAUAAAGCGGUGCCGGUCCACUCAGACGUACUAUCUCUACCUCAGUUUAACAAAUGCACUAGCUGAUGAUGGAAAGUUCCUUCUUGCUGCUCGCAAGUGUAGACGCCCCACCUUCACGGAUUAUAUCAUCUCUCUAGAUGCUGACAAUAUGUCAAAGGGAAGUAGUACUUAUGUUGGGAAGCUAAGAUCAAAUUUUUGGGGAACCAAGUUCACAGUUUUUGAUGGGCAGCUCCCUCAUGCUGGGGCAAAGAUGACAAAAAGUCGCUCCACUAGGCUAGUAAAUUUGAAACAAGUUUCACCUAGGGUCCCUGCUGGCAACUAUCCUGUGGCACACCUCUCAUAUGAAUUGAAUGUGUUGGGUUCCAGGGGUCCUAGGAGAAUGCAGUGUGUUAUGGAUGGUAUCCCGGCCACUUCUAUUCAACCUGGUGGAGUGGCCCCCACACAGACUGAGUUUUCUCAUCACAGUGUAGAUUUCUUUCCAUCACUCCCAUUCUUCCUUUCAAAACCAAACUGUGCAGAGAAUUUUCUAUCAGGACCUUUGUCCAGUCAGAAAGAUGGAGCAUUGGUACUGAAAAACAAGGCUCCAAGGUGGCAUGAGCAGCUUCAGUGUUGGUGUUUAAACUUCCAUGGACGAGUGACAGUUGCUUCAGUUAAAAACUUUCAGCUGGUUGCUUCCCCAGAAAAUGGACCUGCUGGUCCAGAACAUGAGAAGAUCAUCCUUCAAUUUGGGAAAGUGGGAAAGGAUUUGUUUACCAUGGAUUACCGGUACCCAGUCUCCGCAUUCCAAGCAUUUGCAAUUUGCCUCAGCAGCUUUGACACCAAGAUUGCUUGUGAAAUGAUGAUCAAACAGGUGCAAAGUUCCAAGGUUCAGCCAGGGUCCCUGUGGUGAUGCAACAGAGUGACUGCAGCUUGUCCUGUGGGAUUAGAUUGCAUAUGGAGCAUUUUUGCAAAUUAAAUGGAAAGACUGCAGCUUGUUCGAGAUUUUGAUUAUGUGGAUUUUGAAAUCUAGUCAGUUGAAUUGUAGACCGUAGACUUUCAGCUUAUAAUAUUGGAACUUUGUCAUUCACGGUAUAUAUUUUGCUGUGUAUAUAAUAAUAAUAAUAUUGUGCAAGCUGCAGUCUUUCCAUUUAAUUUGCA